GUACUCGCUUCGGCAGCACAUAUACUAAAAUUGGAACGAUACAGAGAAGAUUAGCAUGGCCCCUGCACAUGGAUGACAAUAAACUAUUAUAAAUUAAAAAAAUAAAA
Molecule: small nuclear RNA, 107 nt
Organism: Suricata suricatta (meerkat)
Lineage: Eukaryota; Metazoa; Chordata; Mammalia; Carnivora; Herpestidae
Source: Ensembl